UUGCUGGGAUAGGUUCUCCAGCAGCUGGGAUGGCAGUUGGUUUGGAACCCUUGGGAGCUUCUGCAGGUAAGGUCUCAACUUCCCCUCAGAGAAUAAUCAUUGACAAACUGUCAGGAACCAGGUGACAGGAGCUUCUGUGGCUGUUGAGUUCCAGGUGUGUCUGCAGGGAGGACUUUUCAAGCUCCAGGGCUGGUUGCUGCACACAAGCCCAGCUCCCAUCGCAGGGGUCCUCUGAGAGGGAGGAAAAAACCUAUUAAACAGAGUGAGUCCCUGGAGGAAUCCAAACAAGCAGACCAAAUCUUGACUGGACUGGAGAGACAACGUGACGUGGACCAAAAAGGUUUGCGGAAGGCAGCACUUCCUGGAGGAAGCGAUGGCUCAGUGCCAGCCACUGAUGCACAAAGGGAGGAGAUGCCAGACAGUGCCACAGAAGACGUUAUCAAUGAAACAGGAAUAUAUGCCCCGGAUCCAGUGCGUCUCCCAAGAAUUGUUUGCCCCCAGGAUGUGCGCAGGACCUGCAUGAUAGGCACGGUAGUGACAGUGUUCACUGUGCCAGUUGUGCUGAUAGGCUGCUAUCUUGGCAUUCGCAAGCUGUACGAGCUCAGACGGUCAGUUGUUGAUUUCUCUCCACAGUUUUCUUAUAACUCUUAUAAUUCUGCUUCUGGCAUUGGUAGCAUGACUGGGAGUCAUGCUGGUGUGGAGUUGUGGCCAGUCCAUGGUUGUCCAAAUAACUCUGCUGA
This is a long non-coding RNA of Passer domesticus (house sparrow), 740 nucleotides long. RefSeq lists it as uncharacterized. The record is from RefSeq and is a predicted model, not a curated record. NCBI's taxonomy places the organism in Eukaryota, Metazoa, Chordata, Aves, Passeriformes, Passeridae. The transcript has 4 exons.